Long non-coding RNA from Eleginops maclovinus (Patagonian blennie), 1495 nucleotides. RefSeq lists it as uncharacterized. The transcript has 3 exons. The record is from RefSeq and is a predicted model, not a curated record. NCBI's taxonomy places the organism in Eukaryota, Metazoa, Chordata, Actinopteri, Perciformes, Eleginopidae.
AGAUGAAAGAGGACACCGAGCUCCAAAAGAAGUCUGAAUCUUUUGUUAAUUGCUGUGUUAGGGGAAGGUGUGUCCCCAUUAACUGGCCUGCCUCUGCCCGGGCAGUCUGUCAACAUCCUUACAUGACGGCGGAGGAAUUUCACCUGUGUGUGUCAAGUUAAAAGGAGAAAGUAGGAGGAUUAGAUCUCCACUCACCUCCGCCAGCAUGUUCCUCCACAGAGCCGGGCCUCAGGGGGAAGGUCUCCCUGCACUGAGCACAGCUGGACCCUCCCUUCUCCUUUUCACGAUCCCAGAAACCCUCCAGGCAUACUGAGCAGCAGAACUGAUUCCAGUCCAGCAAAAAUCCACACUGAUUCUCUUACUGAUGUUGAUGUGUUCAUAAAGGGCCAGUUUCAUAAAAUGAGAUGCUGCAUUUGAUUUAUUUCUUAAGUACUUGGAAACUCUCAGCUUUAAUCAAAAGGUUGGAUGGUGAAGUGUAAGGAUCAAUGUCCUCCAACUUUAAUUGAACUCACCCGAGUAGCUUCUCCUGUAUUAAAGGAGCACUCUUUUGCCUUAGAGAGCCCCCUGUUGAUCACAGCUUGUAGGUGCAGGGUUCAAAAGUCAGGCCUACAUUGUAAAACACAGAGCUGGAAAGUAUUUGGAUAUUUAACCUAAGUAAAACUAAUGUUGUGCUACAGUCCAGAAAACACUUUUGGGGGAAAAUGUGGUAAAAGUACCUCAUGCAAGAUUUUACUUGAACACACAAGUUUUAGCAUCCAAAUGAAAUUGAGGUACAAAAAGUAGAAAGACCCCUCUCCACACAAAGUUCAUUCAAAAUAACUUUAAUUGUCAAAAUUGAUCCAUAUUGCACUCUUAUCUGUUAUGUUGGUGAGGGUUUUUUUUUACUUUGUAUACUGCCAAGCAUCUGGUGAAUUUCCCCAACUAUAGUUUGUAUAUAAUAUAAAGUAUAUAAAGUUAACAUGUAGUAGGAAAAUGGAAUAACUGGUAUUACAAGUACCUGGAAAUUACACUGAAUGUACUUUCACAAUUACUGGUAAAACAAAAAUGGUCACGUGGGGACGCUUGAGUGCAAUCACUGCUUUUAAUUUUGAAAAAAUUGAUUUAUAACAGAAAAUAGUUGCGAUAUAGAAAACAUGUCAAGAGUCAAAAGAGAAAAGACAAUGUUUAUCUCUAAUCUUGAAUUAUUGGAGGGUCCAGAUUCAAACCCCCAGAUAAUCACCAAACCAGUCAGAUAAUUUCCCAUUGAAAUGGAAUGCACAAGCCCACUGAUAUUAUAACGACGUUGACAUUUACAAAUGAGUAGUGAUUUUACACUGUAGAAUGAACCGUUCCCUCCACCUUUCUUGCUUAUAUUGUUGAGAUGAAGUUGUGUUUGUCAGACAUUAUAAACAUUGGAUCAAGUGAAUACGCAUUAGUGUCAUUUGUCGCUCUUCGUACCGAACACACAAAGAGUUAUCAGCUAACCCUGCAGGUUCCCUCAGCUCUUUAUGCAGCC